CCUACGGGAGGCAGCAGUGGGGAAUAUUGCACAAUGGGGGCAACCCUGAUGCAGCAACGCCGCGUGAGUGAAGAAGUAUCUCGGUAUGUAAAGCUCUAUUAGCAGGGAAGUAGAAAGACGCUACCUGACUAAGAAGCCCCGGCUAACUACGUGACAGCAGCCGCGGUAAUACGUAGGGGGCAAGCGUUAUCCGGAUUUACUGGGUGUAAAGGGAGCGUAGACGGCAUAGCAAGUCUGAAGUGAAAGCCCGUGGCUCAACCGCAGAACUGCUUUGGAAACUGUUAAGCUUGAGUACUGGAGAGGCAAGCGGAAUUCGUAGUGUAGCGGUGAAAUGCGUAGAUAUCACGAGGAACACCAGUGGCGAAGGCAGCUUACUGGACAGCGACUGACGUUGAGGCUCGAAAGCGUGGGUAGCAAACAGGAUUAGAUACCCUUGUAGUC
RNAcentral lists this ribosomal RNA (441 nucleotides) under uncultured bacterium. RNAcentral's name for it is "partial 16S ribosomal RNA". It matches the Rfam family "Bacterial small subunit ribosomal RNA", at positions 338 to 795 of the family's 1533-position model. The record is from RNAcentral.